CGCACAUCGGUGACUUCACCGGGGGCCUCGGCGGAAACGCGGUGUGAGCGACCCCGGAGGGCACAACGGUCCAACGCGCUCGAGUAGUGGAGAAGCAGUUGCGGGCGACGGUGAGGAACCGGUCCCUUGGAUGAGCUAAAAAGCAAGAUCAGAUGCAGAAUGGUACUGGGGGCCAGUGUGAAUGACUGUUACCGGAAGACGCCCAGAGUACCCUGUGAAGCAAAAGCUCGUGACCAGGACUACUCUAACGCAAGCCUGGUAACUAGUGGAUCUUUAGGAGAUCUGACCCAUGGUGGGCUGACUUGGCCUGGCAUCGUCCGGUGAGGAAGCUACCUGGGUCUAGGAGUGUGUGUACCCAUCUUCCCUUCCCCUUUCCUUUCCGUGUGGGCUACUGACAGUCUGAUCAUCUCACUGGAUGCAAUCAGAGUAAGCGGCGCCGUCUCCCAGAGACUAGCCGACGCUCUUUGCU
Molecule: non-coding RNA, 469 nt
Organism: Chelonoidis abingdonii (Abingdon island giant tortoise)
Lineage: Eukaryota; Metazoa; Chordata; Testudines; Testudinidae
Source: RefSeq, a predicted model, not a curated record